Molecule: ribosomal RNA, 230 nt
Filed under: uncultured bacterium
Lineage: Bacteria
Description: partial 16S ribosomal RNA
Rfam family: Bacterial small subunit ribosomal RNA
Source: RNAcentral
AAAGGGUCCGUAGGCGGACUCGUAAGUCAGUGGUGAAAUCUCAUAGCUUAACUAUGAAACUGCCAUUGAUACUGCGGGUCUUGAGUAAAGUAGAAGUGGCUGGAAUAAGUAGUGUAGCGGUGAAAUGCAUAGAUAUUACUUAGAACACCAAUUGCGAAGGCAGGUCACUAUGUUUUAACUGACGCUGAUGGACGAAAGCGUGGGGAGCGAACAGGAUUAGAUACCCUUGU